AGAUUAAGCCAUGCAUGUCUCAGUGCAAGCCGUCCAGUACGGUGAAACCGCGAAAGGCUCAUUAAAUCAGUUAUGGUUCCUUAGAUUGUACCCACGUUACUUGGAUAACUGUGGUAAUUCUAGAGCUAAUACAUGCCGACAGAGAUCCGACCAGCGCCGUGUGUUCGGCUUGCCGGCUCACGGCGUUCGGAAGGAUCGCUCUUAUUAGAUCAAAACCGGCCAAGCGGUCGUUCGCGUUUCGACGCGCUCGAUCGUAAGUGGCCCGCGCAAAGACUUGACGACUCUGAAUAAUUUCGAGCUGAUCGCAUGGUCCUUGUACCGGCGACGUAUCUUUCAAAUGUCUGCCUUAUCAACUGUCGACGGUAGGUUCGAUGCCUACCGUGGUGGUAACGGGUAACGGGGAAUCAGGGUUCGAUUCCGGAGAGGGAGCCUGAGAAACGGCUACCACAUCUAAGGAAGGCAGCAGGCGCGCAAAUUACCCACUCCCAGCUCGGGGAGGUAGUGACGAAAAAUAACGAUACGGGACUCAUCCGAGGCCCCGUAAUCGGAAUGAGUACACUUUAAAACCUUGGUCACACGAGGAUCAAU
This 588-nucleotide ribosomal RNA is filed under the name Eriococcus sp. Hakea. RNAcentral's name for it is "SSU rRNA". It matches the Rfam family "Eukaryotic small subunit ribosomal RNA", at positions 41 to 548 of the family's 1831-position model. Lineage: Eukaryota; Metazoa; Arthropoda; Insecta; Hemiptera; Eriococcidae. The record is from RNAcentral.